RNAcentral lists this ribosomal RNA (434 nucleotides) under uncultured bacterium. Its description in RNAcentral is "bacterial SSU rRNA". It matches the Rfam family "Bacterial small subunit ribosomal RNA", at positions 958 to 1392 of the family's 1533-position model. The record is from RNAcentral.
AACGCGAAGAACCUUACCACCUUUUGACAUGCCCGGACCACCAGAGAGAUCUGGCUUUCCCUUCGGGGACUGGGACACAGGUGCUGCAUGGCUGUCGUCAGCUCGUGUCGUGAGAUGUUGGGUUAAGUCCCGCAACGAGCGCAACCCUCGCGAUUAGUUGCCAUCAGGUUUGGCUGGGCACUCUAAUCGUACUGCCGGAGUUAAUCCGGAGGAAGGCGGGGAUGACGUCAAGUCCUCAUGGCCCUUACAAGGUGGGCUACACACGUGCUACAAUGGCGACUACAGAGGGUUGCAAUCCCGCGAGGGGGAGCCAAUCCCUAAAAGUCGUCUCAGUUCGGAUUGUUCUCUGCAACUCGAGAGCAUGAAGUUGGAAUCGCUAGUAAUCGCGGAUCAGAAUGCCGUGGUGAAUACGUUCCCGGGCCUUGUACACACCG